RNAcentral lists this ribosomal RNA (433 nucleotides) under uncultured bacterium. RNAcentral's name for it is "partial 16S ribosomal RNA". It matches the Rfam family "Bacterial small subunit ribosomal RNA", at positions 29 to 507 of the family's 1533-position model. The record is from RNAcentral.
AACGAACGCUGGCGGCAUGCCUAACACAUGCAAGUCGAACGAGACCUUCGGGUCUAGUGGCGCACGGGUGCGUAACGCGUGGGAACCUGCCCUUAGGUUCGGAAUAACUCCCCGAAAGGGGUGCUAAUACCGGAUAAUGUCUUCGGACCAAAGAUUUAUCGCCUUUGGAUGGGCCCGCGUUGGCUUAGCUAGUUGGUAGUGUAAAAGCCUACCAAGGCGACGCUCCAUAGCUGGUCUGAGAGGAUGAUCAGCCACACUGGGACUGAGACACGGCCCAGACUCCUACGGGAGGCAGCAGUGGGGAAUAUUGGACAAUGGGCGAAAGCCUGAUCCAGCAAUGCCGCGUGAGUGAUGAAGUCCCUAGGGUUGUAAAGCUCUUUUACCCGGGAUGAUAAUGACAGUACCGGGAGAAUAAGCUCCGGCUAACUCCGUG